This 1178-nucleotide long non-coding RNA is filed under the name Apteryx rowi (Okarito brown kiwi). RNAcentral describes it as "lncRNA (ENSARWG00000012536.1)". The record is from RNAcentral. Lineage: Eukaryota; Metazoa; Chordata; Aves; Apterygiformes; Apterygidae.
CCUCCUCCGGCGUCGCCAAUCCCAGCAGGGGAGACGCGGCAUCUCGCUCGGCGAGCUCUUCCUCGCCGGCGUCUUCCUCGCCUGGCGCUGCGGGUGUCCCAGGGCCGUGGGGCGACGGAGGCGCCGCCGCCGCAUCCUCCUCUUCCUCCUCUUCCUCAUCCAGGGUGGUGGCGCCAUCCAGGCGGAGCUCGACGCCGCCAGCAGCCGGCAGCGCGUGGCGCUCGGCGCCGUAGAGCCGCUCGUCCUCGGCGCCUCCGUAGGAAGCCGAGUCGGAGGAGGCCGAGGUGUCGUCGCGGUAGGCGAAAGCCUCGUCCGCUCCCUCAGCCACGGAGCUCUCCGAGAGGGAGCGCAGGAAGGAGGCCGAGGCGCUGUCCUCCUCUUCCUCCUCCUCUUCCUCCUCCUCCUCGACGGCGGUGGAGGAGGCGGGGGGGCCGAGGGCGAUCUCCACGGCUUCGGCCUCGAAGAGCAGGCUGCCGCGGAAAGGCAGCAGCGCCGCCGGCACCAUGCCGGCUUCGGCGGCUCCCAAGAGCCGGGCGAGCAGCGGGGCCGCGCCGGGACCUCCCGGCUCCCACUCCUCCUCCUCCUCCGGCGUCGCCUGCCCUUCGCCAUCCUCCUCCUCCUCCUCGGGCAGGGCGAAGGGGGCCACGUCGCCGUCGUCGCCAUCCUCAUCCUCGGGGCAGGGGGCGAAGGGCUCGCCGGGCGCCGGCUCGCCGUCGGCCACCAGGUUGGGCGAGCAGGAGGGCGAGGUGCUGGCGGUGCCCGAGGACGCCCAGCUGCCGCCCUCGGCCGUCAUGUAGGAGCCCGAGGGCGAGGUGGGCGGCGAGCCGGGGCCUUCGCUCGCCCCUUCCUCUUCCUCCUCCUCCUCCUCCUCUUCCUCCUCCUCCUCCUCGCAGCUCGCUGCCGCCUUGAGCCGGGCGAAGGCCGCCUUGACGGGCGUCGUGAAGAAGAGGUCGGGCUCCACCACCGCGGCGGUGGUGGUGGUGGUGGUGGGACGGCGCGUCUCCUCGCCCAUGACGAUGCGGGUGUCCAGCGGGGCGGCGGUGGCGGCGGCGGGUGGCACCCGGCGCGUUUUGCUAGGGGACGGCGGCGGCGGCGGCAGCGGGCAGCGCUCGGCCAGAGCGGGGGCGGCCCCGGUGCUGCCCCCACCGCUGCCACCACCACCACCACCGCCGGCGGCG